Molecule: ribosomal RNA, 274 nt
Filed under: uncultured bacterium
Lineage: Bacteria
Description: partial 16S ribosomal RNA
Rfam family: Bacterial small subunit ribosomal RNA
Source: RNAcentral
AUACGGAGGGGGCUAGCGUUGUUCAGAAUUACUGGGCGUAAAGCGUACGUAGGCGGACUGAUCAGUUGGGGGUGAAAUCCCAGGGCUUAACCCUGGAACUGCCUUCAAUACUGUCAGUCUUGAGAUUGGAAGAGGUGAGUGGAAUUCCUAGUGUAGAGGUGAAAUUCAUAGAUAUUAGGAGGAACACCAGUGGCGAAGGCGGCUCACUGGUCCAAUACUGACGCUGAGGUACGAAAGCGUGGGGAGCAAACAGGAUUAGAUACCCUAGUAGUCC